Molecule: ribosomal RNA, 562 nt
Filed under: uncultured bacterium
Lineage: Bacteria
Description: partial 16S ribosomal RNA
Rfam family: Bacterial small subunit ribosomal RNA
Source: RNAcentral
UGGGGAAUUUUGGACAAUGGGGGAAACCCUGAUCCAGCCAUCCCGCGUGUGCGAUGAAGGCCUUCGGGUUGUAAAGCACUUUUGGCAGGAAAGAGACGUCGCGGGUUAAUACCCCGCGAAACUGACGGUACCUGCAGAAUAAGCACCGGCUAACUACGUGCCAGCAGCCGCGGUAAUACGUAGGGUGCAAGCGUUAAUCGGAAUUACUGGGCGUAAAGCGUGCGCAGGCGGUUCGGAAAGAAAGAUGUGAAAUCCCAGAGCUUAACUUUGGAACUGCAUUUUUAACUACCGGGCUAGAGUGUGUCAGAGGGAGGUGGAAUUCCGCGUGUAGCAGUGAAAUGCGUAGAUAUGCGGAGGAACACCGAUGGCGAAGGCAGCCUCCUGGGAUAACACUGACGCUCAUGCACGAAAGCGUGGGGAGCAAACAGGAUUAGAUACCCUGGUAGUCCACGCCCUAAACGAUGUCAACUAGCUGUUGGGGGCCUUCGGGCCUUGGUAGCGCAGCUAACGCGUGAAGUUGACCGCCUGGGGAGUACGGCCGCAAGAUUAAAACUCAAAUGAA